Zalophus californianus (California sea lion) is the source of this 469-nucleotide long non-coding RNA. RefSeq lists it as uncharacterized. The record is from RefSeq and is a predicted model, not a curated record. NCBI's taxonomy places the organism in Eukaryota, Metazoa, Chordata, Mammalia, Carnivora, Otariidae. The transcript has 4 exons.
AGCAGAUUUUGGCCUCAGGAUCGGCUCUGAUGUUAGAGGAUAACUUGGAAAAAGAGCAGUUAUUUUCUUAUCACCUAUGACUUCCAAAAUCCUUGAUCUUAAACAUUGCCGGCAGACAUUCCAAGACGUCCAGGGGAUGCCUGAAAGCCCACAUGGUACCGAAUGCUGUUUCUCCUAUACAUACAGACCUGUGAUGAAGCUUAAUUUGAAGAGAGACGAGAGAGAGUGCUGACCUCAAUUUCAUUUACUGCUAACAUCUACCAAUUACUGAGCAUGUAACUUUUGCCAGGUGCACGGUGAGCAUUAGUUCUGAUCUUCACAAGGAUCCUGCAAGUUAAUGACGACCCCAUUUUAAAGAUAAAGAAUCUGAGAAUUUCAGAGGAUUAUCAAGAAAAGGAAGUCAAUUUUAUAAAUGAAUUUUCAUUAAUGGUUUGGAGUUAUAUGCCAAUAAGACAUUUAUUUGGUGAAG